GCAAAAAAAACUCAUUUUCUUUGUCCCAGAUUACAAGCAAAAAAGACAAAUUUUUAUCAUAUUUAAUUAUAAUGUCUCAAAAAAUUAUCUUUUCCAAAGGAAAAUUAAAUGUAAAGUGCAUUUAAUUUGCUCUCUCUUUCAUUUUUUCAAUAACCAAUGACCAAUGAAAAUUGUUUUUACAUCUUCCUAUAAAACUUAUUUCAAGGAUAACACAAGAAACUAUGUUGCAAACUACGAGUAUGUUUUAGUUUUCUUAAUAAGUGUGAAUUUUUUUUUACUUAUAAUAUGAGAUGGAUGGAGUAUUACACAAAUUGUAACAAAAAAAAAAAAAAAAUGGAGUAUUACACAACAUUAGAGGCGAAGUAACAACAUAUUUGUUCCAUGCCAAUUUACAUGCAUCAUUUAUUGCAAUUCGGAGGGAUUUCUAAAUAAUCCAACUCAUCGGUUGGAAACAAAGACUUAUUUUUCAAGAUUUAUAUUCAUAUCAUGGAUUUCAUUGGACAUAUACCCGUUGGUCACUAUAAUAUACAAAAAAUUGUUUUUAAGAGUAUAAUAUAUUUGGUAUAUAUCAUAAAUCAAAUACAUUAAUUAUUCAAUAAAUUUAAAAAAUAGUUUUUCUCUUGUUAAAGUGACCGGAUUGCAUAUAUCUCAACAUUAAGCGGUCCCCGACAUCUUCAAUAAGUCUUCUGCCUCAGAUUUAUAGGCAAAACACCAACCAUAAUCAACAUCAAGAAUAGGAGAAUGAGCACAAAAGCUCCCACUUCCCUUGUUCAUGCAUUCAACAUGAGAGUGACAUAUGUUAGGAUGAUUUUCCCCAAUUAUUUGUUCGACGCAUCCUAUCUGGGGAUAACAAAAACAACGGUCACCGCAUCGUAGAAAAAACCCUACACAAAUAUUAUCCUUACAGCUUGCUUCUACCUUCUUCAUCGGCAACAUUACUGAAAUAAAUAGAUUUAUUAAUCAGUUUUAGAGUUUAAAUAAAUAGAUUCCCAGUUAUUUCUCAUUAGUUCUAUAAUAGUACAAAUAAAAAUGCACGAUAUAUAAAAUAUUGGUGAAAAAAUUGUUAUACUUACAGAAUGUGGCAAGCAUGAACACAGCCAAAGGAAUGAGUUUAGCAUAAGCCAUCGUUUGUUAGGAGAGUUUAAUUUGCUUCGUUGCGGCAUCAACCUUACACUUAAAUAGUUGCUCUCCCAAUAUUAAAAUAAAUGUCAUGUUUAUCAUUUCUAAUUUAUUAAAAUAAAUGGCAUGUGUAUCACUUCUAAUUUAUUAAAAUAAAUAGUUGUUAAAAAAAUUAUGCAUCUUGACCAAAGAAAAAAAAAUCAUGCAUUAAAAAUUGUACUUAUUUAUUUUGUGGGGAGAUUAGAAGGAUAGGGAUUAGGGAGAGAGCUUCACGUGUUCUUGCCGAAAAAUUAGCCAACUAGUGUGAGUUAUGAAUUGUUGCAACAAAAGUGUGAAAGUUGAAAUUUUUGUAGUAGCUUAUAACUUACAACUACUAAACGAAAAGUGAUAAGUUAUAAAUUAUUUGAAUUAGCUUAUCUCAAACCGCUAUAAGCUCAUAAAAAUAAGCUAUAAGAUCGUGAGAGAAUGAUUGUUACCAAUAAUUUCUUUUUUAAUCAAAUAAACUUAUAAAACAUAAACUUUAAAUUAUAAGCUCAAAAAUAGGCCUUACCAAACAAACUCAAAAAGUUGUUGCGGGUAUAUGGAAAAUUUCUUGUAUUGAUUUUACUUAGUAGUUAAUUAAUAGUUUUCUUGAAAGGCAAAAUCAAAAUAAAUACAUAGAAGGAGAGUAAUAGUAAAUUGGUGGGUUGCUAAAAAUGACUAGAAAAGAUAAUAUAUAAUUAAACAAAUUAGUGAGAACUAUAAAGUACUACUAGUCAUAGAUAUUAUCGGUUAGGUAUUGCCUAAAAGUGAUGGUUGAUAAGUUAAACUUUUGCGUCUUACUCAAGUCGUAGAUUAUGAGUAGAAUCAUGUCAAAUGUAAUGUUAUUGAUAAAUGUUCUUGUAAGAACAUUUUGGGUGGGGAAGUGUCAUAUAUAAUAAAAUUAGUGUUGAGGGUCGAUAAGAACUUAUGGGAUAUUAAUGCGGUGUCUAACUUAUUUGUGUGAUUACUCUGAAUUUAAUGUGGAUGAUCUUUUAAACUCCCCUCGUGAAUUAAUAGUUGGGCAAGAGGUAGAAACUGUGCUUGCACUAGCUCAAAGUAGUUGGAUGAAUGUGUCGAAGUUAGUUGAUGUUUAAGUAGCAUUUCAUCCUGUGUGUACUUGCCUUGUUGGGUAUGUAAGAUAUGUAUUAGUAGUAUAUGUGUGUUAUUUUAUAUGUUUUUUGUGGUGUGAUGUGUGUGGAAGUCAAAGAUGAUGAUUUAAUCCAAUUGAAUGCUAAUCACCAGAAGAGUUCCAAGUUGCAAUUUAAUUCUUUAUCGUUAUAAAGGACACUAUAUUUCAAAUGCUUAUUGUUCUAAGUGCAAAUAUUGGCAUUUUUAUUCUGAGAUCAAGCUUUGGAGAAAAAUUUAAUGAAGUUAACAAUGUAAAUUAUUCUUAUCAAUACAUGGUCACUUAUAAGAAAGUCCUCAAAUUUAGUUUGUAUCUCUUGGCAAUUCCUUACAUCUCGUAUAACAAACUUUUUCUCCUUUUAUCUAAUUUGAGCUCAAAUUUAUUUCACACUAUAUCUACAUACUCUCAUAUCAUAUCUCUAGCUCUCCCCUCAAACGGCUACUUAGAAUUUGAAGGAUAAAUUAUUUAGUUUGUAAGAAAUUAUCUGUUGUAGUUGAUCUAUCUAGUAUUGGAAAUGUAUAAUAAAGAUGUUGGAAAACUUGCUUCAGAUUACUUAGAUUACUUUGGUGUUUAGUAGGAGUUUUUCAUAAAAAUUGUGGUUGAGCCUAACACAACCUUACAAAAUCGACUUGUGAGGAGAGGAUUGUCCUCACUUAUAAUUGGAAAUUGCUCUUCUCCCUUUCAAAAUUGAGCAUUCCCUUAUUUAUGUCUAACGUUAGUUAACUCAGGCUCGGCCUUUUCAACUUGAGUUAACUCAAGCUGGACAUUUUUCAAUAUGAGUUAACUCACGUAGGCAUGUGAAUGAUAAAAAACAAAAGGGAGGAGAACAAUUUUCCUUAUAAUUGCCCCCACUUAUAAACACAUUCUUAAAAAUUUUGGUUGGAAAUAACACAACCUCACAAAAUCGGCUCGUGAGGUGAGGAUUGCCCUGAAUUAUAAUCGCCCCCACUUAUAAACACAUUCUCAUUCUCAGGUCAUCUCUUAUGAGAUGUGGGACUCUUCAAGAUCACACCCCUUCACGCCCAAGAAUGGACAUGUGGAGUGUGAAUAUAAAUGUUGGGUGGCCCGAUAAUGGAAACCUGAAAGCAGGUGGCCUAACGGAUCUUGGAUGAGGCUCUGAUACCAUCUUAAAAAUUGAGGUUGGGCCUAAUACAACCUCACUAAACCAGCUUGUUAGGUGAAGAUUGUCCUCACUUAUAAUUGUCUCCACUUAUAAACACAUUGUUAGUCCAUCUUUUAUGAGAUGUGUGACUUUUAACAAUUUUAUUUUAAUGAUAAGUCAUCAAAUUCAUGAUAUUAACAUAUUACAUCCUUCAAUUUUAUUUCCAAUGCAGGCACUCACAUAUAUUGAAAUGGAUUGGAAACAAUUCAUGCUUGAUGGAGAAGUGAUUGUUAGCAAAACUAGGAAAAACUAUUUUAGAGAGCAAAUUCCUCUAAGUCUUGGUUAAAUAUAAACAAGUUUUUUCUACAAAAAGGAAAGAUGAGAUAUUAACUUUUCAAAUUGGAUUAUAAUGUCUAGUUGCUUUCUGCCCAAGCACACUCAAAAAAUGAAUAUAUAUAUUCUUGUUCAAUAUAUAUUUGACUAAAGGGUGACCAGUUUGGAAUCCUAUCCUAAAAUAGAGAUUCGUUAAAAAAAGAAUUUACUACAGAAGGAAGAAUAUAUCCAUUUUAUUUCAAAAACAGACAAAGAUACUCACUCCUAUUUAACCCCUCUCCUCAAUAUGAUAAUCAUAGACAACUUGAUAGAAAUUAAGAGAUCAUCAACUCUUAACAUUUCAAAAUGCCUGUGUUUAUCCCUGCUGACAAACCAAAGAGAGUGUCUAUGGAUCAAAUCAACUUCGAAAGGAACAUUAUCGAAAAAUUGGAAAAAGCAGAUAUCAAUAACGACGGUCGUUACACAAAGGAAGAGCUCAAAAAAGCUCUAAAGGAUUUAGGUUCUUACUACCCUGGAUUGAGAGCCAUAUUUUGUUUCAUGAAAGCUGAUGCCAACAAAGACGGACAAAUCAGUGGCGAGGAAAUCGACACUUUAAUUGAUUAUCUCCUUACCCGUGGUUUUGGCAAGAACUAAUUAUUAAGAGGUGAUAUAUGAUCAAUAAUCAAAUCAUGCUAAUAGCUUUAAUGCAGUAUAUAGUAGUAUAUAUGCAGUUUGUGUUUAUGUUAAUCAAUAUUAAAACCAUCUAUGCUUAUAUGUAACGCAGAAGAACCGGAGGAAUACAAUUAAUUCUUCCUGUGUUAUGCUAUAUGAACAUGCAUGUAGUACUUAUAACUUGCUGCCAAUAAAAUAAAUAGAUAUUUCCCCUGCCUUUCUGGUGUAUUUGUUACUGAUGAGCAAUAGCUAUUUAUUUUUUUCCUUUCUUCGUGCAUUCCACAUGAGAUUGACAUAUGUUAGGAUUUUCCCCAACUAUCUUUGUAACAUCUUUAUACGCUCUAGGUAAGCAUGUAACAUCUUAACAAUAAUUACACAACUUUUUUAUGUAAACUUACUUAUUUUAAUACUUUAAAAAAUGUCUUAAGGGCACUCGUUAACAUUCUGCAUAGUAAAAUGAUUGUAGAUAAAAUGAGCAAAUCCAAACAUAUCUAGAGACUUACCAACAAACCACAUUAAACUCCACCAUACCAAGGCAAGCAUCACCAUGUCCACAUCUGAGACACGGCGAAGAAAACGACUCUUCUAGGCCUAAAAAAAAAGUCUGAAGUUCAUGCCCUAAAAUAUGAAGAAAAAAAUAAAUUAGGGGUCCAUUAAGAAAAAAAAUAUACAUGCUUAGUUCUUUGUUAGUCCAUUUAAAAUUUAUCACAUGAUUUUACUAAAGAGAGUCCAAAUCCUUGACUUGCAACAACAUUGUAGUAGAUUAUAGAAAAAUAGAAAGACACAAGAAAGAAAGACAAAGUUGUAGCGGCAACUUAAAGAGAAAGAAGAAAAAUGGUUCUAGCGACAACUUCAUCGUCGAUGACGAUUCAUGUGCUAUUAUUCUAUUCAUUGUUUCAAGAUUUUAUCGUAUAAUGUUGGUUGCAAAAAAUAUGCAUAUAGUAGUGAAAAAAGAAAAACGAGCGUAUAAUUAAUAGAAUCACAAAAGGGGACAAAAGAUAAAUUUGCUUAUAAACGAGUAGAUAAAUUUGAAUGAUGAUAAUCACAUCAACGACAAUAAUAAUGUUCUUGGGUCAAAUAUUGAUAUGUAGACAUCAAUGACCACUUAAUUUCUCUUUUAUAUAUCUAUGAUCCUAGACGAAGUUGGGGUAUUUUUUAUUCAAAAACCAGAGGCAUUUUGAUUGAAAAGGGGCCUAUUAGGAAAAUCGAAUCUUACAUUUCCUAUGAACAAACGUUCUGAGCAUUUUUCAUAUUCGUAUUUUUUCAGAAAAUUGAGUAAUUGAGAGACUUUUGAAAGAAAAUAAUUGUCUUAUUACUCUAAACAUGUGAAUGCAGUAUAUUAUUUUUGUUGUAAAUCGUGCACUUUUCAAAAUAACAACUACAUAAGUCUUUUAUCAAACGAUGGAGUGAAUGAUUAUAAUCAUUUAAGUGAGAAACUAAAAGAACAUGAUAACGUUGUUGAGUGUAUCACUGAAAUAUAGAAAAAUAUAUGAUAGAACAUAUUGAUGUAGACACAAUUAUUAGUAAUUUUGCAUCUAAAUUUUUUUCGUAGUAUUUGUUUUAUAUGAUCAUUUUUUUUGUUUGAAGUCUGAUGUUUUUAUUAGACUAUUUAUUAACGUAAUAAAAACUAUAAUCUUCAAACAAGAUUUUUCUGACUUUAGAAAUUCAAAUUUUAUAUAUACUUAUUUAGUUAAGAUCCAAACUUUAUACGAAGCCAAAAAGAAAUCCAAAUUUUAAGUUUGUCCUAAGACGACCUCGACCAACAUCUCAAAAACAGGCAUGAGCAUCAUCUAAAAUAGGCGAAAAUUCAUAAGACGGGUAUAAUCAAAGGGAACUUCUACGGUACACCCACAAAUUAAGCUGUACCGGUACUCUCGCUUAUAAUUUUUAUAAAUUAACUAUCAUUUUUUAUGAAAGAAAAUAGGUGUUUGUUGACAUAUAUAUUUUAGAAAAUAUCAUUUUAUAAGAAAAUACAUCAUUUCAUUUUUUAGAAAAAUCAUACUAAAUUUUUCUACAUUUUAUCGUAAAAAAUAAUCAAAAUUCUCUAUUAUGAGUAAUAGGAAUUCAGAAAAAUCAAAUUUUAUUGUGUUGACGUUUUUGGUAAAUAAGAUUUAAUUAUUAUAAUUAUAGGUGAUAGAAAAUAUUUUUUUCCUACAAAAAAUAACUCAUUUAACUAUUAAUUUAAAAAUUCGGUGUACCAAUACACUUAAAUUGUUGGGUGUACCAUAUAAUUUGCCAUAAUCAAAACCAAAAAGAGAUAUAUACGAGAAGAAUUAGAGAGCAAAGUAAGGGGAUAAUUCAUAACAUUUCUAGUGAAGUAACAACAUAGUUCAACGUCAAAUUACAUGCAUCAUUUAUUACAAAUAUGGAGGGAUAUUUAAAUAAUCUAACUCAUCGGUUGCAAAUUACAAAUGAAAUGAAAAGUAGAUGCAUCAUCAUAUCAUGAAUUUCAAUGGACACUAAGCACUCACUGACAUUUUUAACAAGUCUUUUGUGAAUUUAGAUUUAGUCGUAAACUCUUCUUCUGCCUCAGAUUUAGAAGCAAAACACCAACGAUAAGGGAGCUUCUAUGGCACACCUCACAAAUUGAGGUGUACCGAUACUCUGCUUCAUAAAUUUAUAAAUUAAAGACCAUUUUAUGAAAUAAGUUGUUAUUUGUCAUUAUUUAUAUUUUAAAAACACGAUCUCAUGAGAAAAAAAAAAACAUCAUUUCAUUGUUUAUAUGAAUUAUAUUAAAUUUUUAACAUUUUCUCAUAAAAAAUAAUCAAUAUUCUUCAUUAUGAGCAAUAAAAAUUCAAAAAAAGUAAAUUUUAUUUCAUCAACGCUUUUGCUAAAUAAGAUUUAAUUAUUAUAGUUGUCAAUGAUAGAAAAUAAUUAUUUUUUCUUCAAAAAACAAUCAAUUUAAUUAUUAAUUUAAUGUUUGGUGUUCUAGUACGCUCAAAAUGUUGGAUGUAUCAUAGAAUUUGCCUAUAAGGGAACAAAUCUUCUCAAAAAGAUCAACAUGCAUUUUUCUAAUCAAGAUGACUUUCCAAUUAAUAGGUUCAAAAUAUAAUAUUAGGGUUAAUCAUCAACUUGCAAACAUAUUCUUUCUCUAAUCAUCAUAUUUUUCACGUUUCAUUAUUUAUACAACAAUCAACAGGGCAAUGAGGGUGAUUUCACAACUCUUCCCAUGAAUCCCUAGGCUUUGACAGAUGCAUUUGAUUUCAUAACUAAAAGAUCUUGCAACAAGGAAAAUUUGGCCACAUGUAUAUGAACAUCUUCAAUUUUUUCACAUAGUUUUUUUGCAGGAAUAGUCAGUAAAUUGCAGCAAUGUACUAGUCAGUUUCAGUUGUAAUGUUGCACUAAUUCCAAGUAGUUGGAUUAAUUUGUCGUAGUUAGUGUUUAGGUAGCAUUUUAUCCUAUGUGUACGUGCAUGAGUAUAUUUGUUAUAUGUUCUUGAUGUGUGAUAUGUGUUUGGAAGAUGAUGAUUUUUUUUAAGAGGUUAAAAUUGAAUAUAUUAUCAACUCAAAAAGUUUUUUUUUAGCAUAAGGUGUAUAUAGGAAAGACAAACAAAGUCGAAACAGUAUUUACAAGAGAAAACUGUACAAAAAUCAUAAAAAAGAAAUAAUUAUCAGCCUAUGCCUAACAAGGUAAAUGAAUUAAGCCACCAUCCAUGAUAGUUAAAGGGAAAAGUAGCAAAUUUCACCUUCAACCACCUAAAAACGAGAGACUUAAUCCUAUCGAUCACCUGAUUUAUUAAGCAAAUUUUGUCGUUAAAAUGUCUGCUAUUUCUUUCUUUCUUAUUUCUUUCGAUAUUUGGAAAAUGGUGAUUUAAUUAACCACGUAAUACAUAUUAGCCUACCCACAGAGAAUAUCUUGAUUGGAGAACAUUUGAAAAUAUAUCCUAAUAAGCUCGAUAUCUAUAGAGCAUAUAUAUCCUUUUCAAAAACCUAUAUUAAAACGUGUAAAUGACGUUGUUCGUUUUCAUAUACGCUACUAGUGCUAAUGGAUACCCUAAUUAUGAUGAUUUGUUCAAUGAAAUAAGAUAAUAUCCCUAGCAUUGACUUAACAUUGACGGCAUCCAUUAACCAAUUAUCACAACUAAUGGUGCUGUUUGGAAUCUGAAUCAGGUUCUAUUUCAUAGGAAUAGCUUUAAGUUAGUACAUGGAUCUAUAAAUUAAAACUUGUCAAUUUUUAUUUUUUUGGUCAAGAACUUGUCAAUUCUUUUAACCAUUUUUAUAAGGAAAAUGUUACAUAGACACAUUUUAAUUGCAUACACCCUUGUACACCCCAUGUAUUAGGAAGAGAGAAGAGAAGAAGAAAGAGAAAGUGUACUUGUGCGGGGUCCAUAUGACCACAUGUCAGAUUUUUGUGUGGGUGUCAAGAGGUGUAUUGCCACUUAAGGGUGUUUAUGUAUCAUAACUCUUUUUAUAAAUAAAUGUCUUCAAUCAAUUAGAACUUAGAGAUCCACAACAAAGCACCACAAAUUGAGUAUUUGAAUGGGUCUCCUAUCCACAUAACUAAUUUUACGGUAAUACUUAUAAGCAUCGAUUUUCUCCAAUCCAACGUCUCAAAGUAAAUUAUUAAAUAGGUCCUACAAAUAAUUUUAUAUUGUUACAUUUCAACAAAAUUUAUUUAUUUUAUUAAGAUUUAUUAAAUAGGACCCGCAAAAAAUGAAGAGAAAGAGGGUGCUUUAAUAACCACUUUUCUAUGAGAAAUGAUAUUUGUAUAACCAUUAUGUGACAACUUUUGGACAACUUUCUCUCUCAUACUCACAUGAGAUUCUUAUUCUCUCUCUUCGUUUCUCUCUCUCCAUUGUUUUUGACCAAUAAGAAGAGAGAAAAUCAAAGUUGUCAUCAAUUGGAUGUACAAAUAUCACUACUCCUUUUCUAUAGGCAUCUAUAUAUUAUACUCCAUAAUGGAGGGUGUCCGUUUAACAUGGUGCUUAAUACCGUGCUAAUUUAAUAUGGUGUAUAUAAUUUGGAAUGAAUGAAGUAAUAUGGUUAAGGAGUUGGUGUUGUUCCUAUAUUCAUGAGAUUUAAUAUUUUUUAAUUAAUUAUAACAAAGUAAAAGAGAUAAAUUUGUAAAUAUAAUAGUUUAAACGAAAUAUAAAAUUGAAAAAGAAAAAGUCACCCUAAAAAGUAUCAUCUUUAUAUAUAGAUAUAUAUGGCUUGAAAUAAACCUAUCUAUAUGUCGAAAGUACAAUUUUGGGUCCGGUGAAGGAGAAGAUUGUGAAGUAUUGGGUCAACAAACAAAGUUAUACAUAUGGGAAAUACUACAACAAAUAGAGCUGAAUUUGCACACAACCGGUUGAAAAAGUAUAUGACUAGUAGCAUGAGUGAUUUAAGUACAAACUAUAAAUCCGUUCACAACAUGUUAGUGUCACACCAUACUCAAAUACACGCUUCCUUUUAGACGAGCAUUAUCAUGCUUGAACAUAGAUUCAAAAGAAAAUUGUUGUGGUCUAGGUUGAUUCGAAACAUAUCAAGAAACGCUUUGCAUUAUCUCGCAGAUGAGGCUGAUCGAGCAGUUGGUGUCGGUAUGGAUAAAUCAAGGUGUGGUUGUUUGAAUUUGAUCACUUUCAGAUUGCCAUGUGCGUGUGCGAUUGCAUUGAAGAUCAAGAGCAAAAAACCCCAUCCGUUUGGAUAAAAUCCACACUCACUAAAAGAGGUUGAGGUUCGAAUAUGAGGGUGAUAUCUCUCUGUUACCAGAAUAGGAUUUGCUUCAGGUAUUUUCUAUAAAAAUUACCGGUUGCAAGUGUCACUUUGUCUCUAAAAAGUUCACUUGUCCAUCCUCUCGAAAAGUCUUUGGCUUUCCCAGACCCGUUAAAGUCAUCACUUUACAUUCUAUUUAACCCCCUCAUCGUGACACUUUCUAAACCAUAAUCAUUAAAUUCAUACCCACAUAUAAACUCCAACAACACACCAACUUGAGAUUAGAGAGCAAUACUAAUAAUUUCAUAAUGCCUAUACUACGCCCUGAUAACAAGAAGACAAUUUCUCAAGAUCAAAUCAAAGCAGAAAGGAAAAUAAUGGAAGUAUUGGAAAAAGCAGAUAGCAAUAAGGACGGUUGUUAUACAAAGAGUGAGAUCAAGAAAGCUGUCAAGGAUUUACGUUCCUAUGUUCCUGGAUGGAGAGCCAUGCGUUGUAUGGUCAAUGUUGAUGCCAACAAUGAUGGACAAAUUAGUGGUGAGGAAAUUGAUACUUUAGUUGAUUAUCUUCUUGUCAAAGGGUUUGGAAAGUAACUAGUAAUAUAUGUGAAUUAUGAUCAAUUCCCUCUCUUCAGGUUUAAUUUUAUGAUAUUAUGACCCUCUAUGUGGUAGUAUACUAACUGCUAUAAGCUAUGUGUAAACAUAUAUUGAACCUCUGGUUAAAGAUUCGAUCUCUGACCCAAAAAUAUUGAAAACAUAUAUUUGGAGAUGUUUCUUCAACAAGAAAAAAAAGUGGAGAUGUCAUCCCGUAAAUUAAUAUCAAGUAUCUAAAGAAAUUAGUCUAUGUAGCAUGGACAUACAUUGAUUUAUAUGCUGAAAUAAUGUAUAAACUUUUGUCUAUAAAUCUAUAGUUUCAUUUUAUA
Molecule: long non-coding RNA, 10904 nt
Filed under: Medicago truncatula (barrel medic)
Lineage: Eukaryota; Viridiplantae; Streptophyta; Magnoliopsida; Fabales; Fabaceae
Description: long non-coding RNA (MTRU_LNC008197)
Source: RNAcentral